This 221-nucleotide long non-coding RNA is filed under the name Mustela putorius furo (domestic ferret). RNAcentral's name for it is "lncRNA (ENSMPUG00000027108.1)". Lineage: Eukaryota; Metazoa; Chordata; Mammalia; Carnivora; Mustelidae. The record is from RNAcentral.
ACCUUUAUAAGGGGUGGAUGUGCUAAGAUGUCCUGCUUUCUCUUGCAGUGGACAGACUUUUCAUCUUCCGUCUCUGGUCCUAAGAACAACUCCCAGGGAGCAGGUGGUGGAGGGCCAGAGUGGCUGAGGCCCUCCAGCUCCUCAGUGUGCUCUUCUAGUGUCUAUAUUUGUUGUGUGACUCCUGCAGAGCCAUGUAACGACAAAUAGAGGAAGCCAAACCU